RNAcentral lists this ribosomal RNA (447 nucleotides) under uncultured bacterium. RNAcentral's name for it is "bacterial SSU rRNA". It matches the Rfam family "Bacterial small subunit ribosomal RNA", at positions 355 to 825 of the family's 1533-position model. The record is from RNAcentral.
UGGGGAAUAUUGGACAAUGGGCGCAAGCCUGAUCCAGCCAUGCCGCGUGAGUGACGAAGGUCUUCGGAUUGUAAAGCUCUUUUGGCGGGGACGAUAAUGACGGUACCCGCAGAAUAAGCCCCGGCUAACUUCGUGCCAGCAGCCGCGGUAAUACGAAGGGGGCUAGCGUUGUUCGGAAUUACUGGGCGUAAAGCGCACGUAGGCGGACUGAUAAGUCAGAGGUGAAAGGCCUGGGCUCAACCUGGGAAUUGCCUUUGAAACUGAUUGUCUAGAGUCCGGAAGAGGAUGGCGGAAUUCCCAGUGUAGAGGUGAAAUUCGUAGAUAUUGGGAAGAACACCAGUGGCGAAGGCGGCCAUCUGGUCCGGUACUGACGCUGAGGCGCGAAAGCGUGGGGAGCAAACGGGAUUAGAUACCCCCGUAGUCCCUGAGCGGGCUGGCAAGGCGCAU